UAGGGAAUCUUCCGCAAUGGACGAAAGUCUGACGGAGCAAUGCCGCGUGAGUGAAGAAGGUUUUCGGAUCGUAAAACUCUGUUGUUAGAGAAGAACAAGGAUGAGAGUAACUGCUCAUCCCCUGACGGUAUCUAACCAGAAAGCCACGGCUAACUACGUGCCAGCAGCCGCGGUAAUACGUAGGUGGCAAGCGUUGUCCGGAUUUAUUGGGCGUAAAGCGAGCGCAGGCGGUUCUUUAAGUCUGAUGUGAAAGCCCCCGGCUCAACCGGGGAGGGUCAUUGGAAACUGGAGAACUUGAGUGCAGAAGAGGAGAGUGGAAUUCCAUGUGUAGCGGUGAAAUGCGUAGAUAUAUGGAGGAACACCAGUGGCGAAGGCGACUCUCUGGUCUGUAACUGACGCUGAGGCUCGAAAGCGUGGGGAGCAAACA
Molecule: ribosomal RNA, 427 nt
Filed under: uncultured bacterium
Lineage: Bacteria
Description: bacterial SSU rRNA
Rfam family: Bacterial small subunit ribosomal RNA
Source: RNAcentral